GUCUUUGUGUGCUUGAGGCCUUUCAAGGCCUGUGGUGUCAGCUCACCAAGAGGAUUUAGUAAUGCUACUCUCUGGGGAACACUGCUGGCUUAGCUGAGCCCUGAACAAACAGCACACCUGGGGUCAGAAGCAAGCAGCAGGUGAGCUGCUGGUUGUUGAAGCUAUGCACAGUGAGGGGAAGAACUUCUGCCUCCAGUAAUCCCAGUAACAAGAAGAGGGUGGGCCUGUGAGGGAGUCUCAGCCAAUUCUGAAGAGCAGUUUUGAUUUAAGAAGGGCUUACAGGAGCACCAGGCUCUGCUCAGGCCUUCUUCUAGCCUCCUAUGAAACCUCCCAGCAUGGGGAAGACUGGAAGGGGAGAAGCAUGAGGAAAUCAUGUCUGAUGGCAGAGGACAACAGUGAAGGAAAGGGGGGAAAUGAUGUGAAGGUCAACUGUUCAAACAAAAGAACAAGGAAGCACUGUGAAUGUUUGGUCUUGUAAUUCUGCCUUGUGCCUUAUUAAGCCAGCGGUCAUUGACUUAGCCUGUAUUGUCCCUGUGUCUCUUGGGCCUGUGGCCAGUUGUAUCACUAAAUGUUUCAUUUGCGACCUUUGAAUAGUAUUUAUUUUCAAAAUGAAGUAGGAUGGUAGUCUGUAUGGGGAAAAAAACAACAUCACAGUGCUGUGGAAGUGCUCCCCCAUGUCCCUGAAGCUGAAAUAUCAACACUGCAUCCCAAGCCUACACAGGUCUCCUGUAAAAUGCUACUGGGUCCCUCCAUUAGCACAAUUAGAACUAUAAAGUAGAAUUAUCUUCUAUUAAGAAGUCGGCCUUUGUUUAGCCAUAGUUCUGAAGAUCUUUGUGUGUCAAGUUUUUCAAAAUGGUUAAAUAUGCUUUUGACAGUUGCCCCAAAAGUAGAACUCCAAAAAAAAAAAAAAAAAGACAAGAUAAAAAUAAACACCGAUCAACUCUUUCAUUUAUUGCAAGCUGUCAAAGGGGACAGGUUCAGUGGAAAAAUGAAUGUGUGACUGUGUCAUUAGAAGUUGAGUCACCAUACACGCGCAGGUAGCUGGGCGGAGUGGCUGGAAUGACUGUUGCUAACCUCAGCUUCAGCAUGGCUUGGCUGUCAGGAAAAAGUUUCUCAGAAGCAGGAGUUUCUUGUUUUCUGAAACCUCUUUCCAAACUGGCAAUGAAAAGCCAGAAUUCUCUGAAUAAAGAGAAGUGAAGUAUCAAAACUCAAUUUUCUGGUGAUAAGUCUUUGGAUAAGAGCAACCUGUAUGUACGUAUAUGAAUAUAACAGUCUUUUGCUGUA
This is a long non-coding RNA of Lagopus leucura (white-tailed ptarmigan), 1284 nucleotides long. RefSeq lists it as uncharacterized. The transcript has 3 exons. The record is from RefSeq and is a predicted model, not a curated record. Lineage: Eukaryota; Metazoa; Chordata; Aves; Galliformes; Phasianidae.